AUUUUGGACAAUGGGGGAAACCCUGCCCCAGCCAUCCCGCGGGUAUGAUGAAGGCAUUCGGUUUGUAAAGUACUUUUGGCAGAGAAGAAAAGGUAUCUCUUAAUACGGGAUAUUGUUGACGGUAUCUGCAGAAUAAGCACCGGCCACCUACGGGCAAGCAGCCGCGGUAAUACGUAGGGUGCAAGCGUUAAUCGGAAUUACUGGGCGUAAAGCGUGUGUAGGCGGUUCGGAAAGAAAGAUGUGAAAUCCCAGGGCUCAACCUUGGAACUGCAUUUUUAACUGCCGAGCUAGAGUAUGUCAGAGGGGGGUAGAAUUCCACGUGUAGCAGUGAAAUGCGUAGAUAUGUAGAGGAAUACCGAUGGCGAAGGCAGCCCCCUGGGAUAAUACUGACGCUCAGACACGAAAGCGUGGGGAGCAAACAG
RNAcentral lists this ribosomal RNA (422 nucleotides) under uncultured bacterium. Its description in RNAcentral is "partial 16S ribosomal RNA". It matches the Rfam family "Bacterial small subunit ribosomal RNA", at positions 361 to 775 of the family's 1533-position model. The record is from RNAcentral.